GAAAAGGAAGUAGAGACACUCUUC
RNAcentral lists this non-coding RNA (24 nucleotides) under Cricetulus griseus (Chinese hamster). Lineage: Eukaryota; Metazoa; Chordata; Mammalia; Rodentia; Cricetidae. The record is from RNAcentral.